GAGAAAAGCAGCUUUCAGCCGGAUCCAGGCCGCGGAUGUCCCGCAGCGCCUCAGCCUGGCGGCCCUGUGGUCCGGAUAGGACGGGCUCCAGGCUCAGAGGAGGCAACUGACACACAGACUUGCAGCCUUUUUUCCAGCGACACCCACAUACGCUUUCCAGGUAUGAAAUUCCAUGAUACAAGCAGAAUCCAAGGACCUCGACCUGGGUGGAAGCUCACAAGUUUAGCUAAUCUGUCUCCUCACCAUAUGAUGAAGAUAUUGUGAUCCCAUUUUGCAGAUAUGACAGCUGGGGUCCCAGAGAGGAUACGCAGUGUUGUGUGACUGCUGAGCUCUCGAAGGCAUUUGUAUGAACUCACGCUGACCAUGGGUGUUUUCCCUGUGCCUUCAGCUCCGGAGCUGUGUGGACAGGGCAUGUACUGCUGUGGCUCAAGCAGUGUGACCCAGAGGACGUGCCGGGUUCAGAAGGCGUUUCUCCUAUCUGCUGUGUUUGGGCUUUACUGAAUCUCUACUGCACUCUGAAGAUUUGAAGGCUUAUUGAUAACUGUGUGAUUUCCACAAUUCUGUACUCAAAUGUUGGCAUCAAGUAUUGUAGGGUUCCAUUCUACAGAAAGGGGAAGCAAGGCUGCCAGAGGCUGGAUGCCUUGAACAAGGGGGUGUGGAUCCACUUCCUGCAGGAAGCUGCCCAGUUUAAAGGUCUGGAGCCAUCUAAUCUGCCUGCUAGCAGCCACCUGAUGUCCUGGGAGCCUCUACCUGCAAAUAACUUGAAGGACAAGAGUGACAACUGCCGUGUGCUGUGCACCAUCUACUUUCAGCUGGAAGUGUCCAUCCCGUUUCAUCUCUUCAUUCCUGUGGACGAUCCUUGGGCACAGGGUUAAUCCAGGAGGAGGAUUUAGUAACAAGGUUGCCUGGCCUCUGGGCCUGGGCGGGAGAGCUGUUGUUCCAGCCCUGUCCCUCAGCCACACUGAUCAGAGUGGGGCUCCGAGCUUCAUUUGGGAGACAGAGCAGCAGUCACCCUGAAUCUCACCCUGCAGACUCUGGGGUUCAGAGGUUGGGAGGGCAGAGCUGCAGGCCCAGGCAGCAAGAGUAGGUGGAGACUUCGCAGCAGCUGCAGCAAAAGGGAAGGACUGGCCGAGAGUGCUGCACUCUGUGCUCCCAGACAUCUGGAGGAAACUUUGGGCAUGCGCAGGACCUCAAGCCUGGCAGCCAGCUGUGAAGGCCGGUGCCCAUGAGACACUCAGCUCAUGUCAUUUCUCCCAUCCGACAGGGGAGUCCACCUGCCCAGCCCCACCUGGAGUCCUUUCACUUCGCCUUGCAGCAGGAAAGUGCCCAGAGAUGUUAGCCAAGGCCACAGUUGGCCAUUGCUGCCCUAGAGGCUUAUACGUGGGUCUUGGACUCCAGGGACACCGGUGAGGUCACUGGGCCUCAGAGGCUGGAGUUGGGGGCACCAGUGUGCCCCCAUGGUGAUGUCUGAAGAACGCAUCCCAUCCCAUGAGUCCUUUCGCAGGGCAGGCGCUGGGCUCUGAAAGCUGCCCUCACAAAGAUGCCUGCAGCUCCCACUCUUUCCAGAGGAGCCAUCAGCCCUCGGCUAGGAGGGCAAAGGUCACUGUGCUGAGAGAAUGACCUCUUUCUCUCAGAAAGCUGCUGCUUUCAGAGCUGUGGCCACCCCAGCCUGGCCAUCACGCAGGCCUGCACCAAGAAAUAAAAGGUUCUCACAGCCGGGUAGGCGCUGUGACACAGUUUAAUUUGCUGUAA
This 1752-nucleotide long non-coding RNA is filed under the name Heterocephalus glaber (naked mole-rat). Its description in RNAcentral is "lncRNA (ENSHGLG00000039887.1)". Lineage: Eukaryota; Metazoa; Chordata; Mammalia; Rodentia; Bathyergidae. The record is from RNAcentral.